UGGGGAAUUUUGGACAAUGGGCGCAAGCCUGAUCCAGCAAUGCCGCGUGAGUGAAGAAGGCCUUCGGGUUGUAAAGCUCUUUCAGUCGAGAAGAAAAGGUUGUGACCAAUAAUCACAACUCAUGACGGUAUCGACAGAAGAAGCACCGGCUAACUACGUGCCAGCAGCCGCGGUAAUACGUAGGGUGCGAGCGUUAAUCGGAAUUACUGGGCGUAAAGGGUGCGCAGGCGGUUUUGUAAGUCAGAUGUGAAAUCCCCGGGCUUAACCUGGGAACUGCGUUUGAAACUACAAGACUAGAGUGUGGCAGAGGGGGGUGGAAUUCCAUGUGUAGCAGUGAAAUGCGUAGAGAUAUGGAAGAACAUCGAUGGCGAAGGCAGCCCCCUGGGUUAACACUGACGCUCAUGCACGAAAGCGUGGGGAGCAAACAGGAUUAGAUACCCGAGUAGUCCCUGAGCGGGC
Molecule: ribosomal RNA, 459 nt
Filed under: uncultured bacterium
Lineage: Bacteria
Description: bacterial SSU rRNA
Rfam family: Bacterial small subunit ribosomal RNA
Source: RNAcentral